GGGGAGUACGCACGCAAGUGUGAAACUCAAAGGAAUUGACGGGGGCCCGCACAAUCGGUGGAGUAUGUGGUUUAAUUCGAUGCAACGCGAAGAACCUUACCAGGGUUUGACAUCCUGCGAACCUCUUAGAAAUUUGAGGGUGCCUUCGGGAAUGCAGUGACAGGUGGUGCAUGGCUGUCGUCAGCUCGUGUCGUGAGAUGUUGGGUUAAGUCCCGCAACGAGCGCAACCCACGUUUUUAGUUGCCAGCAUUUAGUUGGGCACUCUAGAAAGACCGCCGGUGAUAAACCGGAGGAAGGUGUGGAUGACGUCAAGUCAUCAUGCCCCUUACACCCUUGGCUACACACGUACUACAAUGCUACGGGCAAAGGGCAGCAAACUCGCGAGAGCUAGCAAAUCCCAUAAACCGUGGCUCAGUUCAGAUCGUAGGCUGCAACUCGCCUACGUGAAGUAGGAAUCGCUAGUAAUCGCAGGUCAGCAUACUGCGGUGAAUACGUUCCCGGGCCUUGUACACACCGCCCGUCACACCAUGGAAGUUGGCCAUGCCCGAAGUCGUUACUCCAACCCUUGUGGAGGAGGACGCCGAAGGUGGGGCUAAUGACUGGGGUGAAGUCGUAACAAGGUAGCA
This 626-nucleotide ribosomal RNA is filed under the name uncultured cyanobacterium. Its description in RNAcentral is "bacterial SSU rRNA". It matches the Rfam family "Bacterial small subunit ribosomal RNA", at positions 875 to 1501 of the family's 1533-position model. The record is from RNAcentral. Lineage: Bacteria; Bacillati; Cyanobacteriota.